This 253-nucleotide ribosomal RNA is filed under the name uncultured bacterium. RNAcentral describes it as "partial 16S ribosomal RNA". It matches the Rfam family "Bacterial small subunit ribosomal RNA", at positions 524 to 776 of the family's 1533-position model. The record is from RNAcentral.
UACGUAGGGGGCAAGCGUUGUUCGGAAUUACUGGGCGUAAAGGGAGCGUAGGCGGGAGAAUAAGUUAGGAGUUUAAUUCAUGGGCUCAACCCAUGACCUGCUCUUAAUACUGUUUUUCUUGAGUACGGGAGAGGGAGAUGGAAUUCCAGGUGUAGCGGUGGAAUGCGUAGAUAUCUGGAAGAACACCAGUUGCGAAGGCGGUCUCCUGGUCCGAUACUGACGCUGAGGCUCGAAAGCUAGGGGAGCAAACAGG